This is an RNA transcript of Betta splendens (Siamese fighting fish), 1908 nucleotides long. It is a transcript of the gene named glutathione peroxidase 7, with no coding region annotated. The record is from RefSeq and is a predicted model, not a curated record. The transcript is spliced from 4 exons. NCBI's taxonomy places the organism in Eukaryota, Metazoa, Chordata, Actinopteri, Anabantiformes, Osphronemidae.
UUCGCCCUCUUUGCCUGUACCUUGACUGUCCCGACCGCAGGAGAACAUCAGGAGUUUGUAGAACCUCGUAAGCUGUUGCGUUGGCAGAUUGGCUGUAAAGAUGGUUCCCGGAGCUUUAGCCGUGCUGCUGGCUUUGGUUAGCUUCGCUGAGAGCAAACAGAAAGAUUUUUACACAUUUAAAGUAGUGAACAGCAGGGGGAAGUUAGUGUCCCUGGAAAAGUACCGGGGUUCGGUCUCCCUGGUGGUGAACGUAGCCAGCGACUGUGGCUUCACAGAGGAACACUACAAAGACCUGCAGCAGCUCCAGCGGGACUUUGGGCCGUCCCACUUCAACGUGCUGGCCUUCCCCUGCAACCAGUUCGGCCAACAGGAGCCCGGCAGCGACAAGGAGAUCGACAGCUUUGUCCGCAGAGUCUACGGAGUCUCCUUCCCCCUGUUCAGUAAAAUCGCUGUGGUGGGAACUGGAGCCAAUAAUGUCUACAAGUACCUUGUUGAGGCCUCUGGAAAGGAGCCUGACUGGAACUUCUGGAAGUACCUCAUUGAUGUAACUGGAAAAAUUGUGGAUGCGUGGGGACCAAAGGUUUCUGUCAAAGAAAUCCGACCUAAAAUAGCGGAAAUGGUUCGUCAGAUAAUCCUGAAGAAGAAAGAAGAGCUUUAACCUCAAGCUAUGACACGUUCAAUGCUCAGUGUUCAGUAGCAGCUCAUGAACUCAUUGACUGCUUUUUGACUUUAAGGUACAACAUUUGAAUAAACGGUUCAAAUCAAUUCUGCCAGCACUGAUAAAGCCACUGUUUAAAGUCAGAUGUCUGAGCUGGGAGCUCUGGUUUCCACAUCUGUUAGUCAUGUGGGUUAUGGUUUUGUAAUAUUUAAAAUAAAUGUUUCUCACCAUAAGUGUUUGGAACAUAUUCCAUGUGUUUAUUAUUAUUAGAUAAGACAUACUUUAUUGAUCCCUUUGGAGAAAUUGAGUUCUCUGCAUUUGAACCAUUCCCUCACUGGGGGAGCAGUGGGCAGUCACACACUUCAAAUAUUCAAUGUAACAAUUUAACCCACAUCAAAUAGAGAAACUGGUGUCAUUUGUGUGUUGUCCAGCUUCCUCCUACAGUCCAAAGAUAAACCUUAGCUCAUUCUGAAUGUGAUGGUCACAAGUUUACAGAAGAUAGACUAGAGAUCAGAGCUGCUGUGAGCAGUCACACUAUCAGUGAAGCUGGAUUCUAGGCGCUGCAGUCCGGUACCUGUAACAUGAGCGUCUCCCGUCGUUGACCCUGUGAUGAACUGGCAGCUUGUCCUGGGAGCCGUCAGUGUGGCAUUCAAAAGGUUUUUUUAAAAACAUGUCUUGUAAAUCCAAAUGAAUAAUAAAGCCAUAAAUACACAUUGUGUUUGCUUUGUGGUGUUAUUGGUUUAUUAAAAUACACUUUAUCAGUUGUUUUACUCAUUGGGCCACAGUGUAUAAAUGUGACACAGCAUCAAUAAUACACGUGUCCUUGGUGUCUCACAUUUUUAUUCAUGUGUUGUAUGAGCAAAACCAAUUAAGUUGUCAGUUGUGGCAUUUUUAUUGCUGGGAAGGAACUGUAUGAAAGAGGAAUGUCUUUGUGUGGUUCUUUUGUUCUUACUGUAGCUGGAAUGUUGUGAAGCUGGCAUCUCGUCUGCACACAUUAUUCUGUGACUGUAAAUAAUUUAUGUCAUUUUAGCAGAUUACGUAUGAAUUAUUGUUAGAUGUCAGACGUUGUGACAGCAAACACUCGUUAAGAAACACAAAGUACUGCUUUUAGGGGAAGACAGAGCAUUUUCUGAAACAUGAAAACAGGUUGCUACAGUAGUUACUGUGUGCCUCUACAUAUGCAUGCUGGAAUAGUUAUAGUCCAUAAUAAUAGUUUUUUUACAUUCUUGAGAAAAAUGUGCAAAAGUAUU